Molecule: ribosomal RNA, 390 nt
Filed under: Pleurosigma strigosum
Lineage: Eukaryota; Bacillariophyta; Bacillariophyceae; Naviculales; Pleurosigmataceae
Description: eukaryotic LSU rRNA
Rfam family: 5.8S ribosomal RNA (bases 1-105)
Source: RNAcentral
GAAAUGCGAUACGUAAUGUGAUAUGCAAGACUUCGUGAAUCAUCAAUAUUUUGAACGCACAUUGCGCUUCCAGCUCUUGCUGAAAGCAUGUUCCUUCGAGUGUUCACAUACCCAAUUCAAAAACCUCUUUUGGUCUGAUGCGGUUGGCUUUGAAUCAAAGCCUGCCGUGAAAUGAAUGCGUUGGUCAGUGCUAGUACGCGCGGCUCCGUGAUAGGUGAAUUGCCAAUGGGUAAAUUUUAUUUCGGCGUCGCUUCGUGCUGCUCUGGUUCAUCCAGCGUUUCAAUGUGGCAAUCUCCUUGUCAUGUAAUUGAAUCUCGAAUGGAAUAAGGUUACCCGCUGAAUUUAAGCAUAUAAUUAAGCGGUGGAAAAGAAACUAACAAGGAUUCCUCU